This 210-nucleotide ribosomal RNA is filed under the name uncultured Lactobacillus sp. RNAcentral describes it as "partial 16S ribosomal RNA". It matches the Rfam family "Bacterial small subunit ribosomal RNA", at positions 154 to 354 of the family's 1533-position model. Lineage: Bacteria; Bacillati; Bacillota; Bacilli; Lactobacillales; Lactobacillaceae. The record is from RNAcentral.
AAACAGAUGCUAAUACCGUAUAACAACAGAUGAUGCCUAUCAACUGUUUAAAAGAUGGUUCUGCUAUCACUCUUGGAUGGACCUGCGGUGCAUUAGCUAGUUGGUAGGGUAACGGCCUACCAAGGCGAUGAUGCAUAGCCUAGUUGAGAGACUGAUCGGCCACAUUGGGACUGAGACNACGGCCCAAACUCCUACGGGGAGGCAGCAGAG